Molecule: transfer RNA, 74 nt
Filed under: Oscillospiraceae bacterium
Lineage: Bacteria; Bacillati; Bacillota; Clostridia; Eubacteriales; Oscillospiraceae
Description: tRNA-Met
Rfam family: tRNA
About the family: Transfer RNA (tRNA) molecules are approximately 80 nucleotides in length. Their secondary structure includes four short double-helical elements and three loops (D, anti-codon, and T loops).
Source: RNAcentral
GGGCCAUUAGCUCAGUUGGUUAGAGCAACCGGCUCAUAACCGGUUGGUCCGGGGUUCGAGUCCCUGAUGGCCCA